ACUCAAAGGAAUUGACGGGGGUCCGCACAAGCGGUGGAACAUGUGGUUUAAUUCGACACUACGCGAGGAACCUUACCUAGGUUUGACAUGUACUUGACCGUCCUAGAGAUAGGAUUUUUUAGGCGAAAGCCUAGACGGGUACACAGGUGCUGCAUGGCUGUCGUCAGUUCGUGUCGUGAGAUGUUGGGUUAAGUCCUUUAACGAACGCAACUCUUGCCGUCAGUUGCAACUCUUUUAAGAGGCACUCUGAUGGGACUGCCUGGGAAACCAGGAGGAAGGUGGGAAUGACGUCAAGUCCGCAUGGUCCUUAUGCCUAGGGCUACACACGUGUUACAAUGGUUGGUACAAAGGGCUGCGAGCUUGUAAAAGUAAGCUAAUCCCCAAAAGCCAAUCUAAGUUCGGAUUGAGGUCUGCAACUCGACCUCAUGAAGUUGAAAUCGCUAGUAAUCGCAUAUCAGAACGAUGCGGUGAAUACGUUCUCGGACCUUGUACACACCGCCCGU
RNAcentral lists this ribosomal RNA (503 nucleotides) under uncultured bacterium. RNAcentral describes it as "partial 16S ribosomal RNA". It matches the Rfam family "Bacterial small subunit ribosomal RNA", at positions 899 to 1397 of the family's 1533-position model. The record is from RNAcentral.